This 1099-nucleotide long non-coding RNA is filed under the name Gossypium barbadense (sea-island cotton). Its description in RNAcentral is "long non-coding RNA (GBAR_LNC011121)". Lineage: Eukaryota; Viridiplantae; Streptophyta; Magnoliopsida; Malvales; Malvaceae. The record is from RNAcentral.
GGCGGUUCGUGUGUGGAUCUCGUCAGCAUAUCGUCGCAAACAGGUGUGUAACUAACACCCUCUUUCUUAGUCUGGAUCGACAAAAGUCGAAAAGCCAAAAUACCGAAAACCGGUAUUUUGUAGAUUUGCGAGUGUGCGAAUGCUCGUGAGGUAAAUUGAUUAAUGUUUUUGGUAAGCUGCAAAAUUUGGACUGCAAAGUGCAUGAUUUUUGUGCCCUCGAUAUUUUUGGGCUUAAUGGGCCAAAAUUGGAAUGAUGGGCCAACGGGCCCAAUUCGGUAAGAACCCUCGGUACGUGAUUCUGUUAGUACGUGAAAAGUAGGAAUAUGCAUGAAAAACCCUAAAAUAGAUAAAUUACUGAAAUACCUUUAAAAGUGGAAAAUUUACAAUUUUAUCCCUAGUAGAUAAACUACUGAAAUACCCCUAGGGUUAAAUUGACCUAAAUGCAUGUUUGACUAUUGUUAUUUACUGCAUGCCAUGUUGUUAUUAUCUGAUGCAUGGGAUUGGGAUAUUGACGGAGGAAGUACUGAAAGUGGCUUGUCCACGUACUGGAGGCUUUGCCUCAAUUUACUGUUAACUGAGCAUCAAGGCUGCAACUGUGGAGUGUUGGGCUGGGUGGGUUGAGCUAUUCCCCACAUGGAGUGUAUGGCUGGUACGGGUGGAGUGUAGUGGUUGGUGGGUUGAGUAGUCUCCCCAAAUGGGCUUGCAUAUGUUUACUGAUGUUGCAUGUAUUUUGAAAUGGGCCUAUGGGCCAUACUGUUAUCUGAAUAAGGGGCUAAGGCCCAGUUUAUUGUAAUCUGAAAAGGGCUCUGGCCCAGUACCACUGUUACCUGAAUGGGCUUAGGCCCAAUAGGCUUGAGCUGACUUGGGCUUUGAAUGGGUUUUCCUUACACACUGAGUUUCCCCAAACUCACCCCUUUUAUUUUCAUCCACGCAGGAAAUCCCCAACCAUAGUGGGCUUGGAGCUGUGAGGGAAUUCGGAGUGGCCACCCAUUCUGAAAGUUUGAUUUUCUUCUGGUGAACUGGACAUCCUUUUAAUUACGUUUGAGGUUUUGGGCUUUUAAAUGUAAUAAGGCCGCUUAUUUAUUUUUGAUGGUUUUUA